RNAcentral lists this non-coding RNA (243 nucleotides) under Novosphingobium sp. ST904. Lineage: Bacteria; Pseudomonadati; Pseudomonadota; Alphaproteobacteria; Sphingomonadales; Sphingomonadaceae. RNAcentral also lists the same sequence under 1 other name. The record is from RNAcentral.
GGCGGGCAAGAUCGCGCCGGUGCCUCGAAAGAGGCUUAAUAGGGAACGCGGUGAGAGGGCUUCGGCCUUCGAAUCCGAGGCUGUCCCUGCAACUGUAAGCGGUGAGCGCGAUGCAUAUCGCGGCAGGCCAAGGAGCCUGGCCGCAGCCACUGGGCCGGACGCUAAAUCCUGCGAGGCCUGGGAAGGCCGUGCAUCAAGCGAUGACCCGCAAGCCAGGAGACCUGCCGGCGUCUGGUCGCUCUC